Molecule: ribosomal RNA, 531 nt
Filed under: Bifidobacterium breve
Lineage: Bacteria; Bacillati; Actinomycetota; Actinomycetes; Bifidobacteriales; Bifidobacteriaceae
Description: bacterial SSU rRNA
Rfam family: Bacterial small subunit ribosomal RNA
Source: RNAcentral
GUAAUGCCGGAUGCUCCAUCACACCGCAUGGUGUGUUGGGAAAGCCUUUGCGGCAUGGGAUGGGGUCGCGUCCUAUCAGCUUGAUGGCGGGGUAACGGCCCACCAUGGCUUCGACGGGUAGCCGGCCUGAGAGGGCGACCGGCCACAUUGGGACUGAGAUACGGCCCAGACUCCUACGGGAGGCAGCAGUGGGGAAUAUUGCACAAUGGGCGCAAGCCUGAUGCAGCGACGCCGCGUGAGGGAUGGAGGCCUUCGGGUUGUAAACCUCUUUUGUUAGGGAGCAAGGCAUUUUGUGUUGAGUGUACCUUUCGAAUAAGCACCGGCUAACUACGUGCCAGCAGCCGCGGUAAUACGUAGGGUGCAAGCGUUAUCCGGAAUUAUUGGGCGUAAAGGGCUCGUAGGCGGUUCGUCGCGUCCGGUGUGAAAGUCCAUCGCUUAACGGUGGAUCCGCGCCGGGUACGGGCGGGCUUGAGUGCGGUAGGGGAGACUGGAAUUCCCGGUGUAACGGUGGAAUGUGUAGAUAUCGGAAAA